This 426-nucleotide unclassified non-coding RNA is filed under the name Hevea brasiliensis (rubber tree). The record is from RNAcentral. Lineage: Eukaryota; Viridiplantae; Streptophyta; Magnoliopsida; Malpighiales; Euphorbiaceae.
GGAAGAUUCAUAUAUAUUAGAGGUUUGAAAAUAUUAUUGUUAAAGAUUAAGUAAAACACCUACUGGAAAGUGGGAAUAUCAUCGUAGCUAGCUUGGAACUGGAAGAACUGAUUAAAGAAAGUAAGGGUUUCAUCACUAGUUCCCAUGGUUGCAGCAGCUGCUAGAGCAGACACUAGAGCACCUAUCCUUAGAAUGAAGUCAAAUAUUGCAAUCCCUUUCUUUCCAUCUCUAGGAGCUGCCAUGAGAGAUGCUUUUCCUUUAGAAACAGUGCCGGACUCUGGCACAUCAAUUGCAGUAGACUCGCUUUUCAUCAUUUUUGUUAAGAAAAAAUUGGAGGACUUUCAGUGUAUGAGAAUGAGAGACUCUUUAAGCUUUUGUUGAUGAAAUUGACUGUAAGGAUGAACCUUAAUAAAUAGAGAAGUAGAU